GGCAAGAUGGCCGAGUGGUCUAAGGCGCUGUGUUUAGGCUUUGUCUCUCAGGUAGAGCUAAAACCGCAGUCUUCACGGGCGUGGGUUCGAAUCCCACUCUUGUCA
Molecule: non-coding RNA, 105 nt
Organism: Massarina eburnea CBS 473.64
Lineage: Eukaryota; Fungi; Ascomycota; Dothideomycetes; Pleosporales; Massarinaceae
Source: the annotation of a GenBank genome assembly